UACGGAGGGUGCGAGCGUUAUCCGGAUUUAUUGGGUUUAAAGGGUGCGCAGGCGGUCUGUUAAGUCAGCGGUCAAAGCCCGGGGCUCAACCCCGGUCCGCCCCGAUACCGGCAGGCUUGAGUCUGGUAGGGGAAGGCGGAAUUCCCAGUGUAGCGGUGGAAUGCGCAGAUAUUGGGAAGAACACCGGCGGCGAAGGCGGCCUUCUGGGCCACGACUGACGCUGAGGCGCGAAAGCUAGGGGAGCGAACAGG
This 251-nucleotide ribosomal RNA is filed under the name uncultured Coriobacteriaceae bacterium. RNAcentral describes it as "partial 16S ribosomal RNA". It matches the Rfam family "Bacterial small subunit ribosomal RNA", at positions 524 to 776 of the family's 1533-position model. The record is from RNAcentral. Lineage: Bacteria; Bacillati; Actinomycetota; Coriobacteriia; Coriobacteriales; Coriobacteriaceae.